CCGCAAGAGCAACAAUGGCGUGCCGUGAAUCACCUUUUUUUUUGCAAUCCCAUAUUCAACUUGCCUUAUCCCUCCAACCGUAUUCUUCGCUGAUGUCGAUGAUUUGUAGUUUCUACUAAUGCGUGCUUGCUUAUCGUGUUGACCAAUUUGUAUGCGCUCCGCAGCUCGGUACAUUUGUGAGCUGUUCUAUGACACUUCAUAAACGCCUUCAGGCCCCAGCGCACGCAAUCGCCCUCUGCACCGGCAGGUUGGAUAUCACCAUACUUCUCAGCUUAUAGUCAUGCAGUCAUAGUCAUAUCCUUUCGACAUUCAUCACAGUUCAUAAUCCAGAAAUCACGAAUAAAAGGAUUCAACAAUUCAUCCGACCGUUUGGCCCAUAUAAUCACCAGAAAGGAUAGCGCACACGAUGGAGGCUGUCACAUCUCCUCUUUUCGUCGUCUUGGCAGCCCUGCUCUGAUCUGUCUGGGUAGAUUGGCAGUAUCGUUGUCGUCCCGAUCUUUCUCUUUCUAAAGUCAACUUCGCCGUCCGGUUGACUCUGAUGCUGUCAAAAGUGGCUUAGUCUUUGCAUUCCUUAUCAGAACUUUGUUCCGGAUAGCAAUGGUCCUGUCCAACCGGGCGCCUACAUUUUCCGAGAUAACGAAGAUUUGACAUGGUCUGGACUCGGAUAUUUCGGUGUGGACUGCAAAUUUCAGGCCUGACGUCUUCAAUAACCAUCCUGUGCUUCGUGCUACAUAAGGAUCAGCGAAGGAGCGUGGUCUGAUGCACGGCAAUUAUGGGAUUCUCAAUGACAACUGCAAGUUCAUCAAAGCUUUUCAAGUUCAAAGCCAUCACCACCUUUCUGUCCAUGCAUCUUUGAUUCUGGACGGUGAGACGGUCUUGAUUGAGAGUCCUAUUCCUACCAUCCCACGACUUGGAACCGUAAGGCGGAGAGAAGGGGCAGAGUUAGGUCCUUGCUAGUCGCUUCCAAUGUGAGGUCUGUACUCACUUUUGGCAAAGGCGCCUCGCUAUGCUACGGUACCAGCCCCGCCGAUGCCUACAAUUACUUUCACAUCAACAGUAUUGUUUAAGAUAACAACGGGAAUUUCAUUCAUCUCUGCGCGAAAUUAUGCUUCUAUCUUCAAGGUCAACGAUACUAGCGGAGGUGCCGUCUGACGACUGGGUGGUUUCCACAACUGAUCCUUCUUUCAAAACCGAACCUGAAGCUCGAUUCGCUUACCAGCACGAUGCUCGAUACAUCUCCCGCACCGACGACGGCAAGAUCGAAGUCAUUCCCUCCACGGCAACGCUGCCCGCUCUAUUGGAGAAACCAUUAGCAACGUCUCUCGAGCCUUUGUAUCCAACCCCAACCACACCGCCGGUACAGAUUCUGCCCUCCAAUCAUACCCUGCACUCGAUGGUUUGCUCGUUUACUCCCAACGUAACGCUCAACUCCUGUCCAAUGAAAAUACUUUUGCUACCUGGGCCUGGCCGGAGCCAUCACUGAAUACAAGGAAGAUGGCAGAGUCCUCUUCCAUGUAUACUUGGAUUCCCAACCGGAAGGGUAAUUUGUCCAGAGUUACUAGGGAUUUAAAUACAACUGGGCCGGUAUUUCUUUUGAAGAACCUGCUACUGUUGCUUUGAGGGGCCAAGGAGAUGUCUCCGCCCAUGGAAUAAUCUCUCUAUUCACGUUACGAUUGACUAGAUGUCCGCACAUGAGAAGGAGGACCACCAUUCGAAUGAGUGGUUUUGAAGUUUUCUUCGUCGUUACCGAUAAUUAAACUCGAACCAAACCGAAAGAACUGCUAAAUAGGCCGUAGGUUCACAAAUGUCGUCAAGUAACGAGACGAAUAACACUUUGUUUGAGCUUGGACAAUUGAUUGUUUAGCAAUUAACGAUGAUGACCGAUAGAGGAUACUUCUUUUUCUUGGUUACCAUCGACAACUAUGUCGUUCGAACAUCCUUAAUAGUCGUACUGCGGUUCCCAUGGAUCUCAGAUCUUCGGACUUUCGGACUUUCCUCUUGCUGUGCCCAUACGACAACUGCGGCAUCUCCUAUUACUCUGCUCUCUCUCAUCAGCAGCAUCCAUAGUGUAUCUCCCUUUACCUAGCCUCGAGAUGAUUGGGACGAAAUGAAGACUUCGGACUUCGGGAGCUAUGCAAGUUCUCGAUCUAACCUUGAACUAUUGUAGUGGUCUGGCAGGGUCUGGGAACACGGAUGUAGGAAGAUGAACGGCUCUUGCAUUGUCUCAACUACCUCACCUCUGAGCUUCAGGUCUCGCUGAACUUUUUCUCCAGCUUCAGAGCAAGAGAGUCCACGUCAGUUGCUUCGCAUGGAAACAAACCAGAUCUUCCUCCAUAACUAGAUGAUAUACACUCAAGCAUUGACAGUAAAUGUGUUCCUUAGCCUGUAGCUCAUGUGGUCAUUCGUACAGAAGAAAAAGAGGAUGCAUAGCAUAAUACGAAU
This 2442-nucleotide small RNA is filed under the name Cryptococcus neoformans H99. Its description in RNAcentral is "Cryptococcus neoformans var. grubii H99 hypothetical RNA". Lineage: Eukaryota; Fungi; Basidiomycota; Tremellomycetes; Tremellales; Cryptococcaceae. The record is from RNAcentral.